RNAcentral lists this unclassified non-coding RNA (282 nucleotides) under fungal sp. RNAcentral describes it as "partial internal transcribed spacer region". The stretch from base 1 to 46 matches the Rfam family "Eukaryotic small subunit ribosomal RNA", at positions 1786 to 1831 of the family's 1831-position model. Lineage: Eukaryota; Fungi. The record is from RNAcentral.
AAGUCGUAACAAGGUUUCCGUAGGUGAACCUGCGGAAGGAUCAUUAACACGUAUCCAACGUUGGAUGUCGGAGAACGGACCGAGUGGUAGUUCGAAGAUGACUUCUGUCGCGCGCUGUGAAAAAGAAGACGCUUUACGAAUCACUGACCAACACGGCCAGUGACCGGGUUCCUGGGUCCUAGACCCCCUGAUCACCCCGACAGUCGCAGACGCGGGUAGGGAUACGUCCUUACCAAAAAAUAAAUACUUGAACAACUGUUAACAAUGGAUAUCUUGGUUCUC